Molecule: non-coding RNA, 28 nt
Filed under: Rattus norvegicus (Norway rat)
Lineage: Eukaryota; Metazoa; Chordata; Mammalia; Rodentia; Muridae
Source: RNAcentral
CUAUGAACAGAUGUACCCCAAAUCAUCC